This 235-nucleotide unclassified non-coding RNA is filed under the name Chalara sp. Its description in RNAcentral is "partial contains small subunit ribosomal RNA, internal transcribed spacer 1, and 5.8S ribosomal RNA". The stretch from base 1 to 46 matches the Rfam family "Eukaryotic small subunit ribosomal RNA", at positions 1786 to 1831 of the family's 1831-position model. Lineage: Eukaryota; Fungi; Ascomycota; Leotiomycetes; Helotiales. The record is from RNAcentral.
AAGUCGUAACAAGGUCUCCGUAGGUGAACCUGCGGAGGGAUCAUUACAGAGAACAUCGCCCUCACGGGUGACUCUCCAACCCUAUGUUAUUAAAACCUUUGUUGCUUUGGCGAGCCGCUUCGGCCACCGGCUUCUGCUGGUGUGCGCUCGCCAGAGGACCACAAACUCUGUUUAUUAAUGUCGUCUGAGUACUAUAUAAUAGUUAAAACUUUCAACAACGGAUCUCUUGGUUCUG